This 408-nucleotide ribosomal RNA is filed under the name uncultured bacterium. RNAcentral's name for it is "partial 16S ribosomal RNA". It matches the Rfam family "Bacterial small subunit ribosomal RNA", at positions 29 to 526 of the family's 1533-position model. The record is from RNAcentral.
AGUGAACGCUGGCGGCGUGCCUAAUACAUGCAAGUCGAACGGAGAGGCGCACGGGUGUGUAAUAUAUAGCUAAUCUGCCCCUUGCUGGAGGACAACAGUCAGAAAUGACUGCUAAUACUCCAUAGCAAGGGAUGAGACUAUAUCGUAUCAGCUAGUCGGUGGGGUAACGGCCUACCGCGGCUAUGACGCGUAACUGGUCUGAGAGGAUGGUCAGUCGAAUAUGAACUGAGGCACGGUCCAAACACCUACGGGAGGGAGCGGUAGGGAGUAUUGCGCAAUGGGGGAAACCCGGACGCAGCAACGCGGCGUGGAGGAUGACACUGUGCGGAGCGUAAACUCCUUUUAUUAGGGAAGCGGUACCUGACGAAUAAGCACCGGCUAACUCCGUGCCAGCAGCCGCGGUAAUAC